Molecule: long non-coding RNA, 846 nt
Organism: Oncorhynchus keta (chum salmon)
Lineage: Eukaryota; Metazoa; Chordata; Actinopteri; Salmoniformes; Salmonidae
Exons: 3
Source: RefSeq, a predicted model, not a curated record
AGGGGCCUUAAUGAUGAACUCCUGUUAGGUUGCUUCCUGUGAUCGACAGAGAGUCCUAGGGGCCUUAAUGAUGAACUCCUGUUAGGUUGCUUCCUGUGAUCGACAGAGAGUCCUAGGGGCCUUAAUGAUGAACUCCUGUUAGGUUGCUUCCUGUGAUCGACAGAGAGUCCUAGGGGCCUUAAUGAUGAACUCCUGUUAGGUUGCUUCCUGUGAUCGACAGAGAGUCCUAGGGGCCUUAAUGAUGAACUCCUGUUAGGUUGCUUCCUGUGAUCGACAGAGAGUCCUAGGGGCCUUAAUGAUGAACUCCUGUUAGGUUGCUUCCUGUGAUCGACAGAGAGUCCUAGGGGCCUUAAUGAUGAACUCCUGUUAGGUUGCUUCCUGUGAUCAACAGAGAGUCCUAGGGGCCUUAAUGAUGAACUCCUGUUAGGUUGCUUCCUGUGAUCAACAGAGAGUCCUAGGGGCCUUAAUGAUGAACUCCUGUUAGGUUGCUUCCUGUGAUCAACAGAGAGUCCUAGGGGCCUUAAUGAUGAACUCCUGUUAGGUUGCUUCCUGUGAUCAACAGAGAGUCCUAGGGGGCCUUAAUGAUGAACUCCUGUUAGGUUGCUUCCUGUGAUCAACAGGUGCGAUUUUCUUUGUUUAUUAUCCUUCUUUUGAAGCUUCUUGUAGAAAAUUACUGUAAUAAUGAUUGUGAAUACCGAUUGUGAGUAAUGACUGUAAAUAAGGAAUAUAAAUAAUGAUUGUCAAUAAUAUUUUUAAAUAAUGAUUGCGAAUAAUGAUUGAUUGUAAAGAAAUAAACUAUCAAUACAACAAUGUGACAUUAUCCAGCAAUAUGGUGGCUGUCGUGCU